RNAcentral lists this ribosomal RNA (439 nucleotides) under Fusarium flocciferum. RNAcentral's name for it is "eukaryotic LSU rRNA". The stretch from base 68 to 221 matches the Rfam family "5.8S ribosomal RNA". The record is from RNAcentral. Lineage: Eukaryota; Fungi; Ascomycota; Sordariomycetes; Hypocreales; Nectriaceae.
CCGCCAGAGGACCCAAACUCUAAUGUUUCUUAUUGUAACUUCUGAGUAAAACAAACAAAUAAAUCAAAACUUUCAACAACGGAUCUCUUGGUUCUGGCAUCGAUGAAGAACGCAGCAAAAUGCGAUAAGUAAUGUGAAUUGCAGAAUUCAGUGAAUCAUCGAAUCUUUGAACGCACAUUGCGCCCGCUGGUAUUCCGGCGGGCAUGCCUGUUCGAGCGUCAUUUCAACCCUCAAGCCCCCGGGUUUGGUGUUGGGGAUCGGCUCUGCCUUCUGGCGGCGCCGCCCCCGAAAUACAUUGGCGGUCUCGCUGCAGCCUCCAUUGCGUAGUAGCUAACACCUCGCAACUGGAACGCGGCGCGGCCAUGCCGUAAAACCCCAACUUCUGAAUGUUGACCUCGGAUCAGGUAGGAAUACCCGCUGAACUUAAGCAUAUCAAUAA